This is a long non-coding RNA of Chelonia mydas (Green sea turtle), 1669 nucleotides long. RefSeq lists it as uncharacterized. The record is from RefSeq and is a predicted model, not a curated record. NCBI's taxonomy places the organism in Eukaryota, Metazoa, Chordata, Testudines, Cheloniidae. The transcript is spliced from 3 exons.
ACCUCUCCCUGUAAGAAGGGUUCAGGUCUCCCCUUUCUAGACUGUUCUGGGCCGCUGGCACUUGCUGGGCAAAGAGACCAACCUCUCCUGAGGGAAUGGAGGUCUCUCCUUUUCACCGCUUUAGCCUCUGGCCCGUUGUAAUGCCCCUGGCUUGAGGACCACCCUGUAAGGAGGGUUUGGGUCUCCUUUGCCAUGCUGCUUUCGCCACAGGUCACUUGGACAUGCCAGGCAAAAUGACCGCCCUGUAAAUAGGGUGUAAGGUCUUCUCCCUCUCCCUCUUAAGCCCGUGGGGCCUUUCCGUGCCUGUGGCUGAGGGACCCCCUUUUAAGAAGGGUUGAGCGUCUCUUUUCUCUUUGUCCUCGUAAACUGCCCUAGAAAUGAUUUCGACUUGGCUUUUUUGAAAUUUGCAGUCAAAUCCUAUUUGUGACCGCUUGAAUUGAAGCCGGGGUCCGAUGAAACAUGGUGUGGCGAAGGGGCGGCUGUAAGGGGAUGGUGGAGGCCGUGAUAAAUUCGACCCUUUUUUGAAAAAAGCCAAGAAACCCCCCAAAACAAUCCAAAUCUUUCCAGGUCUGGAAAUGAACAGGUGAGGUGCGGGGCUCCUUUCAGCUCCUCACUUCCACGUAAUCCUUCCUCAUCUCCUCUUGCCUUGCCCAAUUGACACUGUCCCACCAACCUCAGCUUUGACCCUCUGUUUCCUGUGCAGAAUAAAACAUACUGCUGGCUGUAGUAGUGUUCCUUGUCUUGAUUGGGAAAGGUCCCUACGUGGUGUCCCAAUUCCAGGCCUUUGGUCUCUUUGCUGGUAGAGUGAGGCUAUAUUUUUGGACUGUCUUUGAGGUGAUUGAAAGAGCUGUCCUUCCUGACAGCUCUUUGGUGAUCUGGUGGCAUAGGUACACGUGUCGUGGUGUUAGAUCUUGCACGUGGGUGCACCUAACCCUACUAACAGGACUGAGUAAGAAGUAAGGGAUGUCUGUUUUGGAAAAGGGCAGGGGGUUCAAAGUUGGAAUGUUCUUGGUGGGGUAGACAGGUAAGUCGGGAAGGGUGUUGGUGAGGGAUGGAGGAUUCCUUGGUCAUGGGAGGUUCCCUUACCUGUUCAUUUCCAGACCUUUUCACGUCUGUGACUCCUUUCCCCUUCUUUCAAGGAAGUAGGAUUUUUGUGAAGGAAGGGUGACCGCCCUGUAAUCGGGGUUCGGGUCGCUUUCCUUUCCCCCUCUUUGCAUUGGCCCUCUUCAUGCCAAAGUGAGCUCCCUGUAACUAGGGUGUGCAACUUUCCCAAGCUUACUCGCCCAUUUGAAAGCUAGUUAUAGAAAGCAGCCUCUUUGGAGAGUUAGGGGUUUGUCCUUCUAGCUCUCCUGUCGCCGUGCCCUACUCACACGCACAACCAAGUCCAAACCGAGCGAACUCUGCAUCCCGCUGGCCCUGACUGCUGCUGCUGCUGCAAGGUUUCCUGCUCUACGCCACAGCAACUCAGAAGAGAAAACGGAGAAGAGGACAGAAGUACCAAAGAAACGGCAGGAAAAGACAAUGGAAGCAGAAGCCACAGAAAAGGGACACACACCUUGCACGCAUGGGCCUCCCUGCAAUGAGGACACGGGAUUUCCACUUAAGCUUCAUUCCCCCUUGAGGUGCCAGGUAAAAGGACCUCCCUGUAAACGGGGAUCAAGGUCCACCC